GAAACCGCGCGCCGGCCGGCAGCGCCCGGGACGGCCCUGCAGAGCUUUCCCGAGGGGGCGUCGGCUCAGCCCGGCGCUCGGGGCUGCUACGGUGGUUCGGGUCGGAGACCCCUGAGAUCGUAAAGAUUUGUCCAGUGAGGUGCAGACGGUUCCAGAGACAAGGAAACGGUCACUGGGGAGAGAGAAAGUGGAUUGUCAGGUUCCGGGACCUGCAGAGUGGCCAGUGUGACUAGAGAGUGAGUGGUAGGAGAAAAGAUUUUGUGUGCGGCAGAGGCAUCUCAUCACUCACCUGAGUAAACAGCUGGGAUCUUUCUGUUCAGAGAUGAGCCACCAUGCUCCUUAUGGUGGAGAGUCCUUGGAGACCCAGAAGAUCAUAGACAGCCCCCAGGAGGGCUCUAUGCUGGCAGUCUAAAGACAGAAAUAGCCAUGCGGUGGCUGUUAAAGGGCUGAGACUGUUGCGUGCUUUCUUGUGAUAGAUGGUAGGACUCAGCUCGGAAGAGGCUGACUCCAGAUGGGACUUGAGGGAAAACGGGAAGAAACCGUGCCAUUACUCUGCACUUGAAGGAGCAUCUUUAGCCUGACAGGAUAAUGAACAUACUUCCUCUUUCAGUCAGGUUUACUGCAUGGCCGAGAGAGUGGUAGCUAUGUUGCAUAUUUUUGCCUGGGAUUCUUAGGGUUGGAGAAGACAAAAGUCAAAUCCAGAGGUAAGCUUACACCUGGGGAUCAAAUGGCAGUUUGUCUGGUAGGUUGGGUCUCUUGGAACUGUCUCCAAGAUGAAAAGAUCGGUGGUGUGGAGGAUAUUUAUUAGGGGGCUCUUUUAGGACCAUUUUCUGUGGGGAAAAGGAAGGAAGUGGAAUUAAUCCAGUCAGCUGCGGGCCCAGGAGGUUUUGACAGAUUAAUAGAGAGCUCUCAAGCUAAGGUGGGUGUUUUGAGUUCUGUCAGGACAAAGGGACUAAGUCUUCUAGUACUGACUAGGUAUUAGGUGCUAUCUACCCCAGGAAUUGGGCGUAGUCUUGGGGGAAGCCGCAUAUAAAGCUGGUUCAUCAAGAAGACAGCAGAGGGCUGGGAGAUGGCUUGGUCAGUAAGGUGCUUGCUGUGUAAGAAGGAGGUCUUGCUUGAAACCCAUGUGAGCCCAGGCACAGUGCCUAUGACCCUCUUGCUGGGGGAGCUAGAGACAGGAGGGUCCCUGUAGCCUGCUGACCAGAUAGAUAGUCUACACAAGCAAGGAAACACGCACAAAUACCCUUAAAAGACUUGUAUCAGAUCACUCGACCUACAACCCUCCCCAUAGCUGGGGACCAGUCCCUCUGUCCUGAGGGGGCACCUGUAUUACAAAGUGUGAUCUUGUAGUUUAUUCUGUAACUUGGUCAUCAUAAAGUGUGUAACUUGGUCAUCAUAAAGUGUUUGGGGUUUUGGGUUUGAGGUUUCCUCAGUGUAGCCUUAACUGUCAUGAAACUUGCUCUGUAGACCAGGCUGGGCUUGAACUCAGAGACCCACCUGCCUCUGCCUCUUGAGUGUUGGGGUCAUUUAAAGGCAAGUGCCACCACCCUGACAGGACCUUAGGUAGUCCAGGCUGGUAUGGAAUUUAUACCCUGCCUCUGUCUUCCAAGAGCUGGGAUGACAGGUAUGCGGUACCAUGUCUGCCUAGUAAAUUUUCAAUUCCUCAGCAUCUUCACGUAAAGUCGACUACGGG
This 1693-nucleotide long non-coding RNA is filed under the name Mus pahari (shrew mouse). RNAcentral describes it as "lncRNA (MGP_PahariEiJ_G0004158.1)". The record is from RNAcentral. Lineage: Eukaryota; Metazoa; Chordata; Mammalia; Rodentia; Muridae.